This 375-nucleotide transfer-messenger RNA is filed under the name bacterium. RNAcentral describes it as "UBA1163 sp013388645 Standard tmRNA". It matches the Rfam family "transfer-messenger RNA". From Rfam's summary of the family: Bacterial tmRNA, also known as 10Sa RNA or SsrA, is named for its dual tRNA and mRNA-like properties. Its role is to liberate the mRNA from a stalled ribosome. The record is from RNAcentral. RNAcentral also lists the same sequence under 1 other name.
GGGGGCGAAAAGGGUUCGACGGGGAUCGUUGACGUCAGGGCUGCAUACCGAGGUCCCAUUGGCUCGUAAAACAAAUGGGGUUUAAACAUAAUCGCAGCCAACUACGAUUAUGCCCUGGCUGCCUAAGAGCGGCCAGCGUCUCACCCGUUCUCUCCUGUAGGGCGGGAUGCCUGCCCGCUGGCAGGCGGGGGAUGUCAGAAAAACAGGAUAGUCCCUCUCCGAUUCCUAUAGGAAAGGGACGAAACCUCAUAGGAUAGUCCUCCCGAAAUCCUGCCUGUGGGAGUUCGGAGGGGCGAAUUCAAAAUACAGGCUAUGUAUGUAGAAGCUCUGUCGGAAGGUUCUCGGACGCGGGUUCGAUUCCCGCCGCCUCCACCA